AUUAAAAAAAAUUGACAGAUUUUUCUUUUUCCUCUUAAUUAAUUUAUAGCCAUUAUUAUCUGAUAAGCAUUUUUCUUCUUCCUCUUCUUCCGCAUUACACAUUUAUGAGGAUAACCCAAAAUUAUUCAAAAUGGAGAAAGAGAAUCUGCUUAGUUGAGUUGAAUUGUAUUAUCCGGUAAGCAUUAACCUAAUAUUAAUGAUGAAAAGUUAAAGAAAAU
RNAcentral lists this unclassified non-coding RNA (218 nucleotides) under Hevea brasiliensis (rubber tree). The record is from RNAcentral. Lineage: Eukaryota; Viridiplantae; Streptophyta; Magnoliopsida; Malpighiales; Euphorbiaceae.